GACGAACGCUGGCGGCGUGCUUAACACAUGCAAGUCGAACGGAAAGGCCCUGCUUUUGUGGGGUGCUCGAGUGGCGAACGGGUGAGUAACACGUGAGUAACCUGCCCUUGACUUUGGGAUAACUUCAGGAAACUGGGGCUAAUACCGGAUAGGAGCUCCUGCUGCAUGGUGGGGGUUGGAAAGUUUCGGCGGUUGGGGAUGGACUCGCGGCUUAUCAGCUUGUUGGUGGGGUAGUGGCUUACCAAGGCUUUGACGGGUAGCCGGCCUGAGAGGGUGACCGGCCACAUUGGGACUGAGAUACGGCCCAGACUCCUACGGGAGGCAGCAGUGGGGAAUAUUGCACAGUGGGCGGAAGCCUGAUGCAGCAACGCCGCGUUCGGGAUGACGGCCUUCGGGUUGUAAACCGCUUUCGCCUGUGACGAAGCGUGAGUGACGGUAAUGGGUAAAGAAGCACCGGCUAACUACGUG
RNAcentral lists this ribosomal RNA (468 nucleotides) under uncultured bacterium. Its description in RNAcentral is "partial 16S ribosomal RNA". It matches the Rfam family "Bacterial small subunit ribosomal RNA", at positions 28 to 507 of the family's 1533-position model. The record is from RNAcentral.